UUGACCAAACCUUGUCCCUUAAUUAGACUACCCUAUCAGUCCUCUCCCGUUUCACUCUCUCAUCAUCCCUCUUCUCUCUCUUUCUCUUUCUCUCACUCCAUCGGAGGCGACCCUCCUACCGGCCACGGUCUACCAGUGUCGCAGGCGACGGUACAACCCACCUCCUCACCGGCGACGGUACAAUCCACAUCCCCACCAGCGACGGUACCACCCAUCUCCCCACCAGCAAUAGAACAGUCACCACCAAACCUCACCCCCGGCUCACCACUCCACCGUAGCUGGCCACCGUCGCAAGUCACACCGUCAAUGCCGCAAAUCACAGAGAAAAAAUUUUGAUGUCAAAAAUCAAAAUCAAUGAAAUGUGAUAGUGAGAAACUUUGGAUCUGGAGUGGGAAUCACAAUUGGGAUCGUGGUUGGGCAUUAUCUGUUUAUAUAUUUCCAAACAAGUGAUGUCAAGAGGAGCAAGAAGGACGGGCAAGAUUGUCAAAUGACUACAUAUCAUUUGUUGGCCUUCUUGGAGAUCCACGUUAUUGUGAUGACUUUGAUGCGUGGACUUCUAUAGAUAUUUUGGUGUAUGGAGAAGAAAUUGUACUUGUGUAUGGAGAAGAAAUUGUACUUUUGUAUAGAAGUAAUAUAAUACUUUUGUCAUCUCCGGCUUUUGUGCAGUUAUCUAUUACUGAUACAGAAAACUUUUGGCAGCCAACAGAUAAUUACUGGCAUGGUAGAUAGAUCACCUUUUGUCGCCAUACAGAUAUAUGAUUUUUUGUCAUGGUACAUAGAUGUACUUUUGGCUUGGUACAAAGUACGAUGGGAAUUUGUACCAUGUCAAAUGGUCGUUUCACAUGGUAUAGUAAAUGUAAUUUUUGUAUAUGGAGGGCUUUACUUUUUGUAUGAUUCUAUAUUUUGUAUGGAAUUGUUAUUUUAGUUUGGACAAUA
Long non-coding RNA from Camellia sinensis, 936 nucleotides. RefSeq lists it as uncharacterized. The record is from RefSeq and is a predicted model, not a curated record. NCBI's taxonomy places the organism in Eukaryota, Viridiplantae, Streptophyta, Magnoliopsida, Ericales, Theaceae.